UGGAACUCAAGGAGUGGCUGAAGAAUCAGUGGAUAUUUUUAUAACCCACAUCCUGGCUUUCCAAAUCAGAAUCAUCCACUCAAGGAUGAAUGUUUUUAUUUACAUUGUUCCUUCUGUUUGGCUGAGUCAUCCAGCUAGAUUAGAACCUCUGCUUCUGCCUUCAGAGUGGUCCUGGGUGUUACUUGAUCAGCAUCAAACUUCUCCUCUGGACUUGUAAUGAUAGUAACUGGCAUUCAUUGAUUGCUAAUCAGUUUCUUACAGGUGCAGGGAUGCAUUUGAGCCAGAACUCUGAGUGAUCCCUGUGCUUCUGUAGCUGGUCCCUCUGUCUGCGAGCUGGGUCAUGCCGAAUGCCAGCCAUGGUCUCACACAUCUGUCUCCUCACUAGACAGCAAGUGCUGCUACAAGCAGGAAGGCCAUUACUGGAGAUCCCUGACUCCUGCCCAGCAUAUGAUGGAGGCCUGAGAAAAAAAUACACUAAGAGACAGAACUAAGAGAGAGACAGCAAGGUGCCAGGACAACCAAUGCCAGUGGAACCAUCAAAG
RNAcentral lists this long non-coding RNA (542 nucleotides) under Heterocephalus glaber (naked mole-rat). RNAcentral's name for it is "lncRNA (ENSHGLG00100045892.1)". Lineage: Eukaryota; Metazoa; Chordata; Mammalia; Rodentia; Bathyergidae. The record is from RNAcentral.